AUUCCUACUGAAAAGAAAAAAAACAAUUAUUUUUUAUAUACAUUUAAUGUUACGUAUCAAUUAUUGUGAAAUUCAUUCAUACUAAUAGCAUAUUGUACUUUCAGUACUGGUGCCCAAAAAUGUGCUGCUUUCCAAGCUCUGUCUGGAAGGCCAUCGAAGAAAGGUUUAUCGACUGUGUCGGUGAGUCUGGAAUAUAUCGUGCAUUAAAGAGGACACGGGACGAAUUUCGGCUGGUUUUUCUUUAUCCUUUCUACCAACACAAAUACACGUUCGCCGAUUUCAUGCAAAGAUACAGAGGAGGCUGGUGAUAGUAGUAACCCCUUAUUUCUCACCGAGAGAAGGGUAUCCAUUUAAUCGAGUAUCGGGCAAAGUGCAGGUAUUUCGCAGACUUCUUUCUUUCAAAUCUCGAGGACCACCCGUGAGUAUUUACAAGCAAAUGCUUAAAAACGAGGGAGCGGAAAUCAUUUCCCUGCACUUCUCCGCGCACAAAGGAUCUCUCUAUUUGGGCGAGCGUUGCAUUGUUUUAAAGGUAUUUUAAAGGUACUGAGAAAGGAAUAGAGAGGGAUAAAAGGAUAGGAGAGAGAAAAAGGCGAGGACCGAAGCCACGAGUUCGUGGGUGCGGUUCCAAUUAUCCACAGUGGCUCUCAGAGAGAGAGAGAGAGAGGAAAAAGGACCAACGCAGCCUCCCCCCCCUCCCCUUGGGCCGCAAAAAAGGGUGGGGUCCUUUUACGAUUCUCCUUUCUUCCUCUUUGUUCGUUCAACCCUCCCAGAGAAGUACGUAUCGAAUCGAUUCUCCUCGACUCGUUUGCAACCCGUCCGCCGAGUGACACACGCGGUUGUCGUGCAUUAUCAUUUCUUAUUCCCACGGAGAAUAUUCCGCGUAUCUCAAUUCUGUUACGAGACACCGAUCUAAUUUUAUACGACGAUGAAACAAAGGAUACGCAAACAAAGGGAACGAGAACGAUUUCGUCUCUUUCUGGGUUAAGACAACAUCGUUCCUCGUCUCUUCCUUCUUUUUUUUUUUUUUUCGUUCAUAUUAUAACGAUGUCGAGCUUCGUUCGCUAGCGUAUCAGAAGAGAAUCGUUUCGUCUCUUCUUCUUCUUCUUUUUUUUUUUUUUAACCCAUUGAUGCAAACGUUCGCCAUCCCAUUUCAUCGAUCGUUCGUCUGAAAAAUAACUCGGCCAAAACGAAAAAAAAAAAAAAAAAAAUUUACUAUUUGCGCCCGCGAUGUUACCGUUAAACGGGUCGUCUUCGUGAUUCGCAAACGUUGGUUGGUUGGUUUCGUGGAAACGUUUAGUGGUACGUGGUUAAAAGACUCGGGCAACCUCUGGUUCGUAAACGAAAAGUCACUCGACGAGAGUGGCGGACAUGGUUCGGAGCCGCUCUACAGUUACAGGGUGCAGCUACCUGCGUAGGUGAGCGAGGGAUCCACAGACGUAGGAUUUAAAAAAAAAAAAAGAGAAAGAAAAAGAAAGAAAGAAAAUCACACCGUUGGCCAGCCACUUCUUGGCUGACUUGGCAAAUUAGUUUGCCAGUAUUGUAUAUAGGAAUUUACAAUUACUUACCACGUACACAGCUACUACUGUUCGUCAUUCGCGUGUCUUUAAUCGUCCUUAACUCGUAUCAACGAGAGGUGUACGAGAGGUUUUACUUUUGAAAAAAUGUUUCAACACGAGUUAAACGUAUGGAGGAAAAAGGAGAAGGAGGAGGAGGAGGAGGAGGAAAAUUUAUGAAAAUUAAAGAAGACCGCUUAUCUUAACGAGCAUUAUCUACCGAUGAAUUAUACUAAAUUUCAGUCUCCUCGACAGAGCAGCUGUACACACAGCUAGCGUGCAAACGGCAUUUUCAUCCACCGCGUGAACAACGUUAUCUACCAAUGAACAUUUCACGUAUUACAAGCCGAUAACUUUAAUCGGAGCAAAAACGACCCCCACAGCUUCAAACUUGGCAAUGGAUAGCAUGUUUCGAGCACGGUUAACGUAACGUGGUCGCGUGAUCGCGAGUAACACGUCAGAUAUGCUGCUCGAUGCUUAAUCCCUUUCCAGGGGCGAAAAGGGUAGG
Long non-coding RNA from Apis florea (little honeybee), 2061 nucleotides. The record is from RefSeq and is a predicted model, not a curated record. Lineage: Eukaryota; Metazoa; Arthropoda; Insecta; Hymenoptera; Apidae.